Rattus norvegicus (Norway rat) is the source of this 4303-nucleotide long non-coding RNA. RefSeq lists it as uncharacterized. The record is from RefSeq and is a predicted model, not a curated record. NCBI's taxonomy places the organism in Eukaryota, Metazoa, Chordata, Mammalia, Rodentia, Muridae.
CAGGCCGAUGUGACCCUGUGGGACACUCACCUAUGGCGGUCCGCGCCGCUGAGAUGAUGACGACGGGGUCCGAGCCUGCAUUCAUCCUGUAGCUCCGAGGUCUGCUAGCUCUCAGCCCGGCGCUCUCUGCGACUGAGGUGAACUUUUGGACCUAGCUUAACCUUUUCCGGAUUGGCAUCUCCAGUCUCUUCUGGAAGGUCCUCCUCCUCAUCGCUGACAGCUUUUGAGCGCGUAGCCUCUUUACUAACAGAGAUCCUUAGAGCAGUGUAUCUCUGCUGUCCAAUCCUUUCGUACUUACUCAACCAAAUGUCUGCAGAGGCAAGAAGAGGAUGCUGGAUCCCCUGGAACUGGAAUCGCAGACGGUUGUGAGCUACCCCGUGGUUGCUAGGUACCAAACCCAGUCUCUGCAGGGGCAGUUAAGUGCUCUUCACCCUGUGCCCUCUACUUUCCCACUACUCUGGCCACUCUCCAGUCCCCUUUGUGGCUUUACUCUGACUGCCCCUCACCCAACUUUGCAGCAGCUUCCUGGGAAACAGCAUGUCCACCCACCCCAUCACUUCAGUCACCACCCAUUAUGCUAACAACUCUGGAAUCCUAACUUUGUUGCCUGUGAGCAGACUGGCCCUCUCUAAACUUUCUAUGACAACUUAUCACAUCUAACCCAAACUCAUAUUUACUUCUUUUGUUUAUUUCUUCUGACUGAAGAAAGUCACAGGGAGUAAUGUGACCUUCUGUUAGCUAAGCUAGAAAUCUCUGGAACUCCAUUUAGGCUUUACUUCCUCCAGGAAGCCUUCCUAAAUUCUACCCUCUGCUCUUAUACCUAGUCUUUGUACUUAACCAAAUAAUUCUUAGUUUCUAGCUUUCUCUAUCAUGCUGUACAAUGGACUCUGGACCCCUUCUUACACUGUCUUAUUAUCUAUGCCUACCAGUUUAGGUAGCAAAGCUAACGAGCACUAAUGUAUUCCUCGUGUUCUGUGCAUUGAGUACAUGGAUAUGAGUGGGGUGGUGACAUGGGCCUAGAGGCUGAGCAUUUGGAAAACUGACAAAGGAGAAUGAGGAGCUCAAGGGGACACGGGGCUACAUGAGCCUUGGUUUCCCCUUGAGACACAGGUCUGUGGAGUUUGCUCACCAACUGUAAAGCAUUUGUGCUAACAAGAGGACCAGAGUUUGGAUUCUGAGAGAAACUGGAGGUAAAUGUUGGGUGGAUAUGAAGGUCUACCUAUAAUUCUAGUCUCAAGACUAGAUCCGUGGACUGGAACAAGCUGGGCAAGUUAGAUUGGCUGUAUUGCUUACCUGCUGGCAUACAAAUCAAUCAUGCCCCAAAAGAAGAUAGAAACCAGUACAUGAGUAGGCUAAGAGGUUGUUGGAUCUUCUGGGACUGGAUUAGGCUGUCAGCUGCCCUGUAAGUCCUAGGAACUGAACUCUGGUUCUCUGGAAGAACAGUAAGUGCUCUUGAGGAAGAUCUCAGACAUUGAUCUCAGGCCUCCACACAUAAACAAUCAUGAAAAAAUGUGCAGGAAUAUUUUCUUCUAAGGACAAGGUGUGUGUUCACUUGUCUCCUUCCUGGAGGCUUCACCGGGAGUAUGCAGUGCCAACUGCUUUUGUUGAAUGAUCAAAGAGAAGUCUUCAUUUUAGCUCCUUAUAAUGGUCUACUGAGAGAUGUGCCAGAUGCAAGCCAAAGAUAAUGAGUGGAGUAAAGAAUAAGAGAAUAGUUUUUACUUUUCUGUUUUCAUUUUAUUAUUCUGGUUUACAGUUCCAAAGAGAUAGUCCAUUAUGUCAGAAAGGCAUGGCAACAGGCAGAGGAAACAGGGCAGAAGGAAACUGCUACUGGUCACAUUCUAAUCUUUACCUGAAGCCGAGAGCUAGAAUACUUUUAUUGUUGCUGUUUUAAACUUUUUUCUACUGUUGUUUUCCCUUUUUUUUGAGAAAGUUUGUGUAGCCUUGGUUGUCCUAGAACUUGUUCUGUAAGCCAGGCCAGCCUUAAACUCAGAGACCCACUGUCUCAGCCUACCAAGUACUGGGAUUAAAGAUGUGCGCCACCACUGCUUAGCUCUUUUGUUUUUGAGACAGGGAUUAUGUAGUUUUGGCUGGUCUGGAACUAUGUAGACCAAACUGACUUCCAAACUAUAUUCUCCUGCCUCUGCUUCCUGAGUAUUGAGAUUAAAGGUUUGUAUCACGAUGCCCAGUAUUUUUUUCUUAAAUAUUUGUGCAUGUGUGCGUGCACAUGUGUGCAGGGGCCUAUGGAGACCGCAGAGGGCUUUGGAUCUCCUAAAAUUGGGAGUUAUAGAUUGUUGUGAGCUGCAUUGUGGAUGGCAAUGGAACCCAAGUUCUUUCCAAGAGCACUACUUGCCCCUCAUUGCUGAGUCAUCUCUCCAGCCCCUACAAUUGUUUCAUAAAUAACACUUAGAUCUAAAUUCAUAUGCAAUUAGGCUGGGGGGAAAAUAAUUUAGUAGUACUACAGACUGCUAUUUGUCCUGAAGGAGUUUUUCAAUCAUUCAGGGCUUGUUUCAUGAUUAGUUACAGAAGUCCAACUGUCAGGAAAAUGCUGUUUCAUGAAUAUUGUUUUUACAAAAGCCAUAUUAAACACAGUUGAAAGGAUAAGCUCAUCUGCUAAAGUGUCUUUCUAAUAUGCACAUUUUACACAUGCUCACAUUCAUUUUCUCAAUACUAGUACUCUGACAUAGUAGCUUCAGAUUGGCCUUCAUUUCUCAAUCCUGUUUCAUUCUCUCAAAAGUGUUUCAAUUAAACAGCAUCAAACAGCUACCACCACAAUCAACUUUUCACUCACAGAACUGAGGCUAUGACAACUGGCCAUCUUCCAAUGCUAGACUUAGUGCUACUUUUGAUUCUUUUUGCCCAUAAAUUUUUUUUUUUUCUUUUUGGGAUAACCUGGGCUGGGACCAUGCUAAGUAAGCAGUCUACCACUGAGCCACACCCCUAUUCUCAAAUUACUUCCAAGGGCUGUAUUUAACCAAGCUUGUUGCCUUAGCCUGACAUUCCUAACUAUAUACUUAAGCUUUUAUGAUUUACAUUCUUACUGCAAAACCAUCAGGCUCAUCAUUUCUGGCUCCAAUCUCCAAAUAUUUGGCACAGCAACCUCAAAGACUGUCCUCCAUUCAGGUUUGUUUCUUCUUUUCUUCCUUUUAUUCAAAAGUGUGAAGGGAGGCAGGAAAACAUUAAGGGCUGAUCUCAGAAUCACGGGUUGGGUGACCUGCCAGCGUAAGAAUAGAUGUUGUCAAGGGAACAAUUUAGUCCCCUAAGUGUUACAGAAGUAUUGGAGGGUCCCCAUUGUCAUUGCCACCUUUUAUGAAAAGAACGAUGGCAAACUAAGGAUGAUAUAAAUCUGGCAGAUGCAUGGGUAGGGAAGAGGAAGAGAGGAGGUGGGCAGAAAGGGAAGAGAUGGCACAGCUGUUAAGGGUACUUGCUUCUCAUGUCCACACCCACACUCAGGAUAUUCCUUAGGAGUGCUUUAAAGCAAAUGUCUCUGAGUAGUAAAGAUACACCUCAACCCUGAAAAAUCAGAUCUCAAGAACAAAUUGCUCUUCAAUUAAAACCUAAAAAUUAGCUUUUAAUCCCUUGAACUAUAGUCAAACUCCCACUUCAUUCUGCAAAGAAAAGUGCAAAUUAAAAUUAGAUACAUAGACUUAAUGCAGACUGUUUUAAUUUGACCUUUGUAUAUGUUACAGGGUAAGUAGGAAUUCAGCCAUUCAGUGAAAAUAAAGGACAAUUGCUAAACACACCCAAGACAAAAGGAAAAACCCCAGGAGUUACAAUAAAAAUUUUUAUUUAGGUUUGGUCAGUACAGGUGAGAUAUACUGGAGUCACAGGGCAAUAUGCAUUAACAGGACACAACAAUUCAUAAAAACUUAGUAACUAUGCACACGGAUUUCUUAAACAUUCAGUUCAGCUAAAGAUGAAUGCACAGAUGUAUGGUGGAAAAACUAUCUAACGCUGAAACUACUAUAGGACUCACAUCCAACUCUUUAGUGAUAAAACUACUGUACUGGGCACACUCGGCGGUCCUAAGCCCACAUCUACUCUAACAAGUCUGAAUGGUGCAUGAGUAACAACAGCGUGAGGAAGAGUGCCCUGACAGCACAGGUUCUAGAUAGACAGAUUUAUACAGACGUCACUGCUAUAGAUUCCCAUUUACAACUUCACAUUAACUCAUAUAAAAAUAACUUGACCCUACACAAAAUGUCCUUUUAGCAAUGUUCAAAGUAAUUAACUGUUACAAUUUUCAAAGUAGCAGAGGUAUUGAAGCAAUUAAAAAAAAAAAAAAAAGAACCAAACAAAACAAAAA